GAAAUGGUUUUAUUUAAAACCAUAUUUCAUAUCCUAUGCCUUUUUA
Molecule: non-coding RNA, 46 nt
Organism: Picea glauca (white spruce)
Lineage: Eukaryota; Viridiplantae; Streptophyta; Pinopsida; Pinales; Pinaceae
Source: Rfam